Molecule: ribosomal RNA, 538 nt
Filed under: Streptomyces pseudogriseolus
Lineage: Bacteria; Bacillati; Actinomycetota; Actinomycetes; Kitasatosporales; Streptomycetaceae
Description: bacterial SSU rRNA
Rfam family: Bacterial small subunit ribosomal RNA
Source: RNAcentral
AUGGGCGAAAGCCUGAUGCAGCGACGCCGCGUGAGGGAUGACGGCCUUCGGGUUGUAAACCUCUUUCAGCAGGGAAGAAGCGAAAGUGACGGUACCUGCAGAAGAAGCGCCGGCUAACUACGUGCCAGCAGCCGCGGUAAUACGUAGGGCGCGAGCGUUGUCCGGAAUUAUUGGGCGUAAAGAGCUCGUAGGCGGCUUGUCGCGUCGGUUGUGAAAGCCCGGGGCUUAACCCCGGGUCUGCAGUCGAUACGGGCAGGCUAGAGUUCGGUAGGGGAGAUCGGAAUUCCUGGUGUAGCGGUGAAAUGCGCAGAUAUCAGGAGGAACACCGGUGGCGAAGGCGGAUCUCUGGGCCGAUACUGACGCUGAGGAGCGAAAGCGUGGGGAGCGAACAGGAUUAGAUACCCUGGUAGUCCACGCCGUAAACGGUGGGCACUAGGUGUGGGCGACAUUCCACGUCGUCCGUGCCGCAGCUAACGCAUUAAGUGCCCCGCCUGGGGAGUACGGCCGCAAGGCUAAAACUCAAAGGAAUUGACGGGGG